Molecule: ribosomal RNA, 379 nt
Filed under: Tritonoranella latitudo
Lineage: Eukaryota; Metazoa; Mollusca; Gastropoda; Littorinimorpha; Bursidae
Description: partial 12S ribosomal RNA
Source: RNAcentral
UCUUGGUCGUAAAUAAAUAAAGAUUUACCGGAGUACUAUGAAUCAAUUUAAAAAAUUUAAAACUCAAAGGGCUUGGCGGUGUUUUAGACCUCUCAGGGGAACCUGUCUCAUAAUCGACAAUCCACGCUAGACCUAACCUCUAUUUGCAAUUCAGUUUGUAUACCGUCGUCGUCAGGUAACUUUUAAAAAACAAGAAGUUGGCAAAGAAAUUAAUUGAAUUUAGACGUCAGAUCAAGGUGCAGCCUAUGUAGAGGUGAGGAUGGGUUACAAUUAAAACUUAUAACUACGGAUAGAAUAAUGAAAUAUUUAUUCUAAUGAAGGAGGACUUGAAAGUAAAAUAAAUUUAUAUAGAUAGUUUGAAUAAGGCUCUGAAACGUGC